UACAGAGGUCCCAAGCGUUGUUCGGAUUCAUUGGGCGUAAAGGGUGCGUAGGCGGCGGGGUAAGUCAGGUGUGAAAUCCCGGAGCUCAACUCCGGAACUGCACUUGAUACUACCUUGCUAGAGUACUGGAGGGGAGACUGGAAUUUACGGUGUAGCAGUGAAAUGCGUAGAUAUCGUAAGGAAGACCAGUGGCGAAGGCGAGUCUCUGGACAGUUACUGACGCUGAGGCACGAAGGCCAGGGGAGCAAACGGG
This 253-nucleotide ribosomal RNA is filed under the name uncultured bacterium. Its description in RNAcentral is "partial 16S ribosomal RNA". It matches the Rfam family "Bacterial small subunit ribosomal RNA", at positions 524 to 776 of the family's 1533-position model. The record is from RNAcentral.